AAAGUAUGUUCGCCCCUAUCAUUACUGAAUCCAUAGGUUAUGAGGCGAACCGGGGGAACUGNUNCAUCUAAGUACCCCGAGGAAAAAGAAAUCAACCGAGAUUCCCCCAGUAGCGGCGAGCGAACGGGGAGGAGCCCAGAGCCUGAAUCAGUGUGUGUGUUAGUGGAAGCGUCUGGAAAGGCGUGCGAUACAGGGUGACAGCCCCGUACACAAAAUGCACAUAUUGUGAGCUCGAUGAGUAGGGCGGGACACGUGGUAUCCUUGUCUGAAUAUGGGGGGGACCAUUCUCCAAGGCUAAAUACUCCUUGACUGACCGAUAGUGAACCGUUCCGGGAGGGAAAG
Molecule: ribosomal RNA, 342 nt
Filed under: Escherichia coli
Lineage: Bacteria; Pseudomonadati; Pseudomonadota; Gammaproteobacteria; Enterobacterales; Enterobacteriaceae
Description: bacterial LSU rRNA
Rfam family: Bacterial large subunit ribosomal RNA
Source: RNAcentral